AGUUCGAUCAUGGCUCAAGAUUGAACGCUGGCGGGGAUGCUUUGCAUGCAGUCGAACGGCAGCACGGACUUCGGUCUGGUGGCGAUUGGCUUGAACGGGCGAGUAAUGUAUCGGAACGUGCCUGGUAGCGGGGGAUAACUACGCGAAAGCGUGAGUUAAUACGCCUACGCCCUUCGAAAGCGGGGGACCUUCGGGCCUCGCACUAUUAGAGCGGCCGAUAUCGGAUUGGCAGCUAGUUGGUGGGGUAACGGCUCGCAAGGCGACGAUCCGUAGCUGGUUUUGAGAGGACGACCAGCCACACUGGGACUGAGACCUGGCCCAGACUCCUACGGGGAGGCAGCAGUGGGGGAAUUUUGGACGUGGAAACCUGAUCCAGCCAUCGCGUGUGCGAUGAAGGCCAACCUUCUGGUUGUAAAGCACUUUUGGCAGGAAAGAAACGGCACAGGAUAAUACCCCGUGCAACUGACGGCGCCUGCCAGAAUAAGCACCGGCUAACUACGUGCCAGCGGCCGCGGUAAUACGUAGGGUGCAAGCGUUAAUCGGAAUUACUGGGCGUAAAGCGUGCGCAGGCGGUUCGGAAGAAAGAUGUGAGAAAUCCCAGAGCUUAACUGGAACUGCAUUUUUUAACUACCAGGCUAGAGUGUGUCAGAGUGGAAUUCCGCGUGUAGCAGUGAAAUGCACGUAGAUAUGCGGAGGAACACCGAUGGCGAAGGCAGCCUCUGGGAUAACACUGACGCUCAUGCACGAAAGCGAUGAGGCAAACAGGAUUAGAUACCCUGGUAGUCCGCCUAAACAAAUAUCAACUAGCUGUUGGGGCCUUCGGGCCUUGGUGGCGCCAGCUAACGCGUGAAGUUGACCGCCUGGGGAAGUACGGUCGCAAGAUUAAAACUCAAAGGAAUUGACAGGGACCCACGCAAGCGGUGGAUGAUGUGGAUUAAUUCGCGAUGCAACGCGAAACCUUACCUACCCUUGACAUGUCUGCGUCGAAGAGAUUGCGGUGCUCGCAAGAGAACCGGAACACAGGUGCUGCAUGGCUGUCGUCAGCUCGUGUCGUGAGAUGUUGGGUUAGUCCGCAACGAGCGCAACCACUUGUCAUUAGUUGCUACGAAGGCACUCUAAUGAGACUGCCCGGUGACAAACCGGAGGAGAAGGUGGGAUCAGAACUCAUGGCCCUUAUGGGUAGGGCUUCACGUCAUACAAUGGUCGGGACAGAGGGUCGCCAGCCCGCGAAGGGGAGCCAAUCCCAGGGAAACCCGAUCGUAGUCCGGAUCGCGGUCUGCAACUCGACUGCGUGAAGUCAGGUCGCUAGUGUCGCGGAUCAGCAUGUCGCGGUGAAUACGUUCCCGGGUCUUGUACACCGCCCGUCACACCAUGGGAGUGGGUUUUACCAGAAGUAGUUAGCCUAACCGUAUUGGGGAGGGCGAUUGCCACGGUAGGGGAUUCAUGACUGGAGACGAUCGUAACCAU
Molecule: ribosomal RNA, 1467 nt
Filed under: uncultured Bordetella sp.
Lineage: Bacteria; Pseudomonadati; Pseudomonadota; Betaproteobacteria; Burkholderiales; Alcaligenaceae
Description: partial 16S-23S ribosomal RNA intergenic spacer
Rfam family: Bacterial small subunit ribosomal RNA
Source: RNAcentral